GUUUUUCCUCACAUCAGUAACCUUUCCGAGAAAUCAGAUGCUGUGUAGGCUAUCGUUAUCUCAGUUCCGUUUCAGCUGAUGAGAGAUGCCAAGGAGCAAGUCAGUCUGACUGACUUAUGGCCAAUAUGUCCAUUGAAAGAUGGGAAACUACACUUGAUGGUACAGGGCAGAAUGCCAUCUGUUCCAGGUAUACCCAUUUUGUACAAUUAGUACAGAAACUUAAGUGCUAAUUUAACCUUUAUUUGUUUACAUAAAGGGAAAGCUAGGUGACAUAUAGAUUAAGUGAGCUCGCUAAUGUACUUGGUUAGUCACUGCAACCAGUUUACAAAAUUCCUUUGAAUUGCACUAUGUAGAUUUUAACACUGGCAACACAAUGAAUAUGCAGUAAUUGUGAAAGUUUUUAGUCAUCUGACUACUGUAGUUUUUUAGCGUGAAGUUAUUGCAGUGUAACUGAACAGGUUCUUAACCAGGAGUCACCGAGUGUUGGUUUUUGUCCAAUACCAGCUUGGGAGGCUAAAGAUAAAUAGGAAAAUAUUAAUAAUCGUUACAUUUUCAUGCCAACCCCAGACCAGAUAGCGGUUUUACAGCCAUCAUUCAGAAACCAUAAAAUGCGGAUGCAGUGAAGGUGAAGUCACAUGACCACAGUUUGUUUUAGGAUGUGAGCCUACCUUGUGGUUUGCACUCACCUUCAUAGUGUAGGUGUGGCCUAUAUCCAGGUCCAGUUUGGGGAAGUUGGCAGUGGUAUCUUCAUUUUCUCAAGUCACAAAAAUACUCACAGAGCUUGGAAAAAACAAUAAACCGAAAUGUUUUGGUUGUGGAGAUUUCCACAACUCAUUGCUUUGUUGCUUUUACACUUUCUUUAGAAUUGUGUACGUUUUCCCUCGGCAAUACCCAGAAGGCUAGGCACUUCCAUUUGAAGGAUGUCAAUUCUUAAGAAAUCUUUUGUAAUAAUACCAAUACUUAAUUUAACCUCAAGGUCUAGGCUUGACUGGCUGCAUACAGAGCUUCUGUUGGAGAGCCACACCACAUGUACAGCUGCUCCGCGCAUACCAUAGUCAAAGUCAAAUUGAGGUGGAAUUAUAAUGUAUUUUGAGCUCAACACACCUGGUGCAUGAUGUUCUAACAUAAUGCUAACCAGUUUCCACUCUAAACUGUAAUAUUUAAGUACAAGUAAGAAAAAAGCAAAAAUACACUACAUUUCCAAAAGUAUGUGGACACCGCUUUUUAAUGAGUGGUUUCAACCACACUCAUUGCUAACAGGUGCAUAAACUCAAGCAUACAGCCAUGCAAUCUCCAUUGGCAAACACUGGCAGUAGAAUAGGUUGUACUGAAGAGCUCAGUGACAUUCACUGUGGCACUGUCAUAGGAUGCCACCUUUCCAACAAGUCAGUUUGUCAAAUUUCUGCCCUGCUAGAGCUGCUCCAGUCAGCCACAAAAUGUUGUGAGUGCUGUUAUUGUGAAGUGGAAACGUAGAGGAGCAACAACAGCUCAGCCACAAAAUGGUAGGCUACACAAACUCAGAGAAAGGGAACGCCGAAGCGUGUAGCUUGUGAAAAAUCCUUGGUUGCAACACUUACUACAUCACAACGUCAGCACAAGAACAGUUCAUCAGGAGCUACAUGAAAUGGGUUUCCAACGCCAAGCAACUGAACACAAGACUAAGAUCAACUGAACACAAGACUAAGACUAAUGAUUUGCUGAGUUUGGUGAGGAAAAACUUGACUGGCCAGCACAGAGCCCAGACCUCUACCCCAUCAAACACUUUGGGAUGAGCUGGAAGGCUGGCUGCGAGCAUUGUGGUUGAAUGGAAGAGAGUCCCCGCAACAGUGUUCCAAAAUCUUCUGGAAAGCCUUCCCAGAUGAGUGGAGGCAGUCACAAUGUUCAACAAGUGCAUAUGGGUAUGCUGUUCAGGUGUCCACAUACUUUUUUUUUGUGUAUGUUUAGAAAAUGAUGUUUAGAAUCUACAUGGUAAAUGACUUAUCUACUUUCUGGAGUUCAUUUUUAAAUACUUAAAAGGGGCUGCUGGGUGGCUUAUCCUGUUAAGGUACUGUUCUAGUGUGGAUGGGACCACGGGGCAAUUUUAUUGAACCCAGUAGGGUUCUGGUUGAUUAGAUAUGCCAGUUAUUGUUCAGUUUUAUUAUUUCCCAAUUUACACUCACAAUAUGGAAUGAAGUAGCCCAACUUCCAUAGAAAUUUUCAAAAGUUAGCAAGGAGCAACAUGUGGCUACAGUACAACUAACAGCAUUAGCCCUUGUUAUUUUAAACUGCCAAUGUUCAAAAGUUGAAAAAAGUUUGAUGUAAUUUUAUUUUACCAAAUACAUUAAUUUACAUUUAAAAACACAAAUUUGAAUGUUUUAUCAUUACGUUGUAGUUUACAAGUACAACACAUUGAUUUUAUUUUCAGUACCACUGCGAAUAUUUAAAUGUAUUUUCAAAAAAAAAAAGAAAACCUUUAAAAAUGCACAUUAAGAUUUUAAGUGUUUUAUACGAAGAAUUUAUUAGCAGUCGUUAUUUUUCAAAUUAAAUGUAAUUGCAUAUUAAACAUGUCCCAUACAUAUAAUAUUUAAUACAUUUAUUAAAUUUGUACCAGCUGUAUUCUUUUUACAGUGAUUGUCAAACAUUACAUGUAAAAUGUGGGUUUGACAAUUAAUUUCCUAUAUUCUUCCAUGGCUAUGAUUCAUAAGCACAGACUCACCCACCCCAUAUUGUAUAUAUUUGUUAUGCAUAUUGUUCUGAAAUCCUUGUAUGGCUUUAGUAGGAAUACUCCUUGGAACCCAUUGAAUGCGGCGAAGGCCAUUUUUUUCCCCAGCAGAUGUGACUGAAAAGGUGUCACCACUGGCUUUUCCCAGGGAUACAAACAUGACAGCAUGCAAGUUCUGGCUUUUUAUCCAUUGUCCAUGAAUGGCAUUAGGGAAUGGUGGUGUUAAACUGUCCCUGAAUUGAAUUUUUUAAAAAAGGUUUGUUUCCUUUGCCUCUUCACUUUAAAUCAUAAUCUGGGUGGGGAAGCACCGGGUAGCCGGCGUUAUACAUCUCAGUGUGGGCUUGGGGUCGUGGUGAAUAAGAAUGCUCUUCUAAAGCUCCUAACCAGGGCCGUUGCUCUUUGCAUGUCCAGUGCCAAGAGAAAAAUAUGCUGCACCUGCAGCUCCCUGUCAAGUUCUGGCCCCACACUAGGGCUUCGCUGUUUUUUUUUUUUUUUGGAGAAUCAGCUGCUGCUCCCCGAGCCGUACGCAUUGUAGGGCAGAGGGUAGACGCCCGAGGCCUGGUUUACCCAUCUCUGAUCGCCGUUCUUCUGCUGCUCCUUCUGCUGCUGCUCCUCGUACUGUCGCAGCAGCUCGCCCACCUGCUCCUGAUCCUUAAAUUGGCUCGAACUGUAGCUCUGCCGUAGCCAGGCACGAUACUGGAGAGGAGAACAAAGAGGCAUAAGGGGAAAAAAAGGGUGCUCAGCACCUGCUUUUCAACAAAGUCAUGAAGAGGAUGUGCAAGGGGUCUGUGGCUACUGGGUCUGAUGCCAGUUCUCCAUUGCCUCCAUUGAGGUUUGCGAGUAUGAUUCUGAAGUUUUACAGAAUUUUUUCUAGAUGUAAUUUGAUGCAAAAACACCACACUUCAACGGUCAUAUUUUCCUUUAAACUGGAAGUCUGCAGUUGCAUUUCCUAUAUCAAAAGCAGGAGAUCUGAUACAAGUAAUUAUAGGCCUAUAAGCAAUUUACCAGAUAUGUAUAAAGUAGCCAAAAUAGCAGUGUGUGACCAUUUAAUUGAUUAUCUAAAUACAAGGGAGUUCCCUCUCUACCCUAUACAAUUUGGAUUUAGGAGCCAUCACUCUACUGACACUGCAAAUUUCUUUUUUUGUUGAACAGAUCGAAGCUAAUCUUGAUCAAGGUGAUGUAGUAGGUACAAUCAUCCUGGAUUUCAAGAAAGGCAUUUGACACCAUAAAUUAUAAUGUACUCCUUUCAAGAUUAAAUUUUUUUUCUGUUAACACA
This is a long non-coding RNA of Anguilla rostrata (American eel), 3977 nucleotides long. RefSeq lists it as uncharacterized. The transcript is spliced from 3 exons. Lineage: Eukaryota; Metazoa; Chordata; Actinopteri; Anguilliformes; Anguillidae. The record is from RefSeq and is a predicted model, not a curated record.